UACGUAGGUGGCAAGCGUUAUCCGGAUUUAUUGGGCGUAAAGGGAACGCAGGCGGUCUUUUAAGUCUGAUGUGAAAGCCUUCGGCUUAACCUGAGUAGUGCAUUGGAAACUGGGAGACUUGAGUGCAGAAGAGGAGAGUGGAACUCCAUGUGUAGCGGUGAAAUGCGUAGAUAUAUGGAAGAACACCAGUGGCGAAAGCGGCUCUCUGGUCUGUAACUGACGCUGAGGGUCGAAAGCGUGGGUAGCAAACAGG
This 253-nucleotide ribosomal RNA is filed under the name uncultured bacterium. Its description in RNAcentral is "partial 16S ribosomal RNA". It matches the Rfam family "Bacterial small subunit ribosomal RNA", at positions 524 to 776 of the family's 1533-position model. The record is from RNAcentral.